This 253-nucleotide ribosomal RNA is filed under the name uncultured bacterium. RNAcentral describes it as "partial 16S ribosomal RNA". It matches the Rfam family "Archaeal small subunit ribosomal RNA", at positions 474 to 727 of the family's 1478-position model. The record is from RNAcentral.
UACCAGCACCCCGAGUGGUCGGGACGAUUAUUGGGCCUAAAGCGUCCGUAGCCGGUCAUGCAAGUCCUCCGUUAAAUCCACCUGCUUAACAGAUGGGCUGCGGAAGAUACUAUAGAGCUAGGAGGCGGGAGAGGCAAGCGGUACUCGAUGGGUAGGGGUAAAAUCCGUUGAUCCAUUGAAGACCACCAGUGGCGAAGGCGGCUUGCCAGAACGCGCUCGACGGUGAGGGAUGAAAGCUGGGGGAGCAAACCGG